RNAcentral lists this ribosomal RNA (694 nucleotides) under uncultured bacterium. Its description in RNAcentral is "bacterial SSU rRNA". It matches the Rfam family "Bacterial small subunit ribosomal RNA", at positions 32 to 715 of the family's 1533-position model. The record is from RNAcentral.
AACGCUAGCUACAGGCUUAACACAUGCAAGUCGAGGGGCAGCAUGGUCUUAGCUUGCUAAGGCCGAUGGCGACCGGCGCACGGGUGAGUAACGCGUAUCCAACCUUCCCCUUAGUAGGGCAUAGCCCGUAGAAAUGCGGAUUAAUACCCUAUGUUGUCCUCCAAUGGCAUCAGCCGUGGACCAAAGGUUUACCGCUAAGGGAUGGGGAUGCGUCUGAUUAGGUUGCAGGCGGGGUAACGGCCCACCUGGCCUACGAUCAGUAGGGGUUCUGAGAGGAAGGUCCCCCACACUGGUACUGAGACACGGACCAGACUCCUACGGGAGGCAGCAGUGAGGAAUAUUGGUCAAUGGGCGUAAGCCUGAACCAGCCAAGUAGCGUGCAGGAAGACAGCCCUAUGGGUUGUAAACUGCUUUUAUGCGGGGAUAAAGUUGGGGAAUGUUCCCCAUUUGCAGGUACCGCAUGAAUAAGGACCGGCUAAUUCCGUGCCAGCAGCCGCGGUAAUACGGAAGGUCCAGGCGUUAUCCGGAUUUAUUGGGUUUAAAGGGAGCGCAGGCGGGUGCUUAAGCGUGCUGCGAAAUGUACCGGCUCAACCGGUGAGUUGCAGCGCGAACUGGGUGCCUUGAGUGUAUUCGAUGUCAGCGGAACUCGUGGUGUAGCGGUGAAAUGCUUAGAUAUCACGAAGAACUCCGAUUG